RNAcentral lists this ribosomal RNA (497 nucleotides) under uncultured bacterium. Its description in RNAcentral is "partial 16S ribosomal RNA". It matches the Rfam family "Bacterial small subunit ribosomal RNA", at positions 28 to 507 of the family's 1533-position model. The record is from RNAcentral.
GAUGAACGCUGGCGGCGUGCCUAAUACAUGCAAGUCGAGCGAACAGACGAGGAGCUUGCUCCUCUGACGUUAGCGGCGGACGGGUGAGUAACACGUGGAUAACCUACCUAUAAGACUGGGAUAACUUCGGGAAACCGGAGCUAAUACCGGAUAACAUGUUGAACCGCAUGGUUCAACAGUGAAAGACGGUUUUGCUGUCACUUAUAGAUGGAUCCGCGUCGCAUUAGCUAGUUGGUAAGGUAACGGCUUACCAAGGCAACGAUGCGUAGCCGACCUGAGAGGGUGAUCGGCCACACUGGAACUGAGACACGGUCCAGACUCCUACGGGAGGCAGCAGUAGGGAAUCUUCCGCAAUGGGCGAAAGCCUGACGGAGCAACACCGCGUGAGUGAAGAAGGUCUUCGGAUCGUAAAACUCUGUUAUUAGGGAAGAACAAAUGUGUAAGUAACUAUGCACGUCUUGACGGUACCUAAUCAGAAAGCCACGGCUAACUACGUG